AGGCUGAAGUUCAGCCUCCUCCUGAUAAGCACCUGGUUAAUCUUUGUAAGAAAUAAGUUAUGUUCAUUUUAAAUAUAAAUCUCUUCUUCAUCUAAUCCCUGAGAAACAUUGUGAUCAUCUCUGAGUAGCUAUAAUCCUUUUUAUUAUCGCCAGUCUAGUUUGUGACUUUCUUGGUUAUAUUUAGUAUCUUUAUUACAAUUUCAUCUUACUGAUGAUGUGUUUUAUAAACUA
This 231-nucleotide long non-coding RNA is filed under the name Bos taurus (domestic cattle). Its description in RNAcentral is "long non-coding RNA NONBTAT022359". Lineage: Eukaryota; Metazoa; Chordata; Mammalia; Artiodactyla; Bovidae. The record is from RNAcentral.